This is a long non-coding RNA of Hermetia illucens (black soldier fly), 476 nucleotides long. RefSeq lists it as uncharacterized. The record is from RefSeq and is a predicted model, not a curated record. The transcript has 3 exons. NCBI's taxonomy places the organism in Eukaryota, Metazoa, Arthropoda, Insecta, Diptera, Stratiomyidae.
AACAACUUUAAAUUCAGCUCAAAUAAGGCAAUUUUAGAUCUUAAACCAUUACUCAAACAACACAGCAAAAGGAGAGAGAUUUCCUUGGAGACGAGGAUUUUCCUUCUCGGUGUCGUCAAAUUGGCUUUGCCUUUUCUUUUAGUUCUCCAAGGACUUGGGUUCUUUGUCGUUGUGUUUACUUAAGUGAGUUGUGCGUCGAUUUCUCGAGAAAUUAAGUUCCAAUUUGCAUUUGUAUACAACCAACAAGUUCCUUUCAAUUUAGUCAAUCUUCGUUGAUGCUGAAAAAGGGCAUACUUACAGCCGUUUUGAAUUAACGUGAAUACUUUCGGGAUGGACGAUAGAUCUUCAACGUUGGCAAAUGGCUGAUGACAAGUCAUUUAAUAUCGGUGAUGGUUUGUUGCCUUUUAUUGCUUCGACACACAUAAACUCUCCAUUAAGAUGGAAAAAACUUAUCUUUGCUUCGUCCUCAUUCACAG